RNAcentral lists this ribosomal RNA (292 nucleotides) under uncultured bacterium. Its description in RNAcentral is "partial 16S ribosomal RNA". It matches the Rfam family "Bacterial small subunit ribosomal RNA", at positions 505 to 796 of the family's 1533-position model. The record is from RNAcentral.
GUGCCAGCCGCCGCGGUAAUACAGAGGGGGCAAGCGUUAUUCGGAAUUAUUGGGCGUAAAGGGCGCGUAGGUGGCUUGGCAAGUGGAAGGUGAAAUCCCUCGGCUCAACUGAGGAACUGCCUUCCAGACUGCUUUGCUUGAGGCCGGGAGAGGCGAGUGGAAUUCCCAGUGUAGCGGUGAAAUGCGUAGAUAUUGGGAGGAACACCAGUGGCGAAGGCGACUCGCUGGACCGGUUCUGACGCUGAGGCGCGAAAGCGUGGGGAGCAAACAGGAUUAGAUACCCUUGUAGUCC